Molecule: long non-coding RNA, 1396 nt
Organism: Homo sapiens (human)
Lineage: Eukaryota; Metazoa; Chordata; Mammalia; Primates; Hominidae
Gene: CNTFR-AS1
Product: CNTFR antisense RNA 1
Source: Ensembl
GAGGGUGGCAGAGCCCAGCCACCAGGGUCUGCUCCAUGCCUGGUCCCUGGAGAGGCCCUCACCCUCUCUGCUUUCACCCAACCCGACUGACACGGAGUAGGAGGUGGGAAUCAUGCAGGCAGGGAGCUUAGGAAGCCUGGUUCAAGAUUGCUUUGAAUGGCAGGCCCCCUGCUGUGCUCCUGGGGAGAGAGCCUGAAACCUGGAUGCUCGGGAGCCCCUCAGAUCCGUCAUCUGUCCCCGACACCCCUGUGGUGAGCCUUGCCACUGGGCCCUGAGAAGCUCAGAGCAGUCGAGUCAGGGCAGUGGGACAUGACCCAGGUCAGAUGUGGCUUUUCCGUAAUUGUACACCAAUGAUCAAGAGAAAAUGAAGGAUUUUAAUAUAAUGGGCUGCAAAUGUAACAAACCCCCUGACCUUCAGUCUGAAGAGAGAGAACUAUCAACCACACAGAAGCAAAGAUCCAGAGAAAUACUGAGGGAUGCUACCAGACACUCAACCAGGGCCACUCUCCGAGAUUCCAGCCAGCCACACAGCAAAGAUGCUGGCCGGGGACACUGCCCCAAACCACCAGACAGAACCCCAAAGAAACAGCUCCACACACAGUGGAAGAUACACCAGAGACUGUUAGAAGGACCAUCAGACAAAGCCAAAGAGACAGGUAGAUGAAACCAGAUAACCAGCCAGAGAGGUGGUCAGAGAACAGCGACACAAUCAAAGGACCCACCAGAAACACUGUAAAGGACUCAGCUAGACCCAGGCAGAUACACUGCCGAAGGACGAGCAAGGAGCACAGGCAGUGAAGCCGUCGGCGACAAAGCCAGAGAGCUAAGACACUGUCAGAAACAGUGCCAGAGAAACCGUCUGACACACAAGCAGAGAAAUACCAGAGAAACUGAUAGACGCAAACAGGCGUACACCCAGAAAAACAGCUUGAGAGAAGAGCCAGAGCCACAGCCAGAUGCUCAGUCAGGAAGUAUCCACACCACUCCAAACACUGCCAGAGACACUGUCAGACACACAGUCAGACACACUGCCAGAGACACCGUUAUAAAGACUGCCAGAGAAACAGCCAGACACACAGCCAGAAAAACUGACAGAGACGCAGUGCCAGAUAUACCCCGAGAAAGUGCCAGAGACUCAGCUCCAGACAGUGCAGACAUAGCAUAACAGAGACAAAUGUGGGUAUCAGCCUGAAGCAGCUGCGGAGAGGCUGGAGAGCAAUGAACUUCCUGGGGCUUCCUGUGGGAGAGGGCUCCUGCCUGCCUUUUGCUACCCUUGACCCUCUCCAGGAAAGUCCCCUCCUCUGAGCCUGCUUUUCCUUUCCUCCCUGUCACAGCCACAGGUGCCCUGACUGCCCCUCCCUGGCACAGUAAAUCUCUCUGUGUCCUAAGUGGCCCC